ACUCAAAGGAAUAGACGGGGGCCCGCACAAGCGGAGGAGCAUGUGGCUUAAUUCGAUGCAACGCGAAGAACCUUACCCAGACUCGACUUGUGACUGCACGGCCGCUGAAAGGCGGUUUCCUUCGAGGGUGUCACACAGGUGCUGCAUGGCUGUCGUCAGUUCGUGCCGUGAGGUGUUCGGUUAAGUCCGUCAACGAACGCAACCCCUGCCGCCAAUUGCCAACGGGUAAUGCCGGGAACUUUGGCGGGACCGCCCCUUCAAACGGGAGGAAGGUGGGGAUGAUGUCAAGUCAGCAUGGCCCUUACGUCUGGGGCCGCACACGUGCUACAAUGGGAAGUACAGAAGGAUGCGAUAUCGCGAGAUGGAGCAAACCCCUUAAAACUUCCCCCAGUUCGGAUUGGAGUCUGCAACCCGACUCCAUGAAGUUGGAUUCGCUAGUAACGGCGCAUCAGCAUUCGGCGCCGUGAAUACGUUCCCGGGCCUUGCACACACCGCCCGU
RNAcentral lists this ribosomal RNA (499 nucleotides) under uncultured bacterium. Its description in RNAcentral is "bacterial SSU rRNA". It matches the Rfam family "Bacterial small subunit ribosomal RNA", at positions 899 to 1397 of the family's 1533-position model. The record is from RNAcentral.